AGUGGGAUAGCUGGGUCAAACGGUGGUCCCAUCCCAAGUUUUCUAAGGAAUUUCCAUAUUGCUUUCUAGAUUGGUUGCACCAAUUUUUCAGUCCCACCAGCAAU
RNAcentral lists this microRNA precursor (104 nucleotides) under Marmota monax (woodchuck). Lineage: Eukaryota; Metazoa; Chordata; Mammalia; Rodentia; Sciuridae. The record is from RNAcentral.